AAGAUAGUUGAACUAGAACAAUACAUCAUGUUUCCUAUGAUUUAUCGCCUCAUUGAGUUGGCAUUGCUAGUACCAGUAGUGACUACAACAAUUGAAAGAGCCUUCUCAGCAACGAAAAUCAUUAAGACCGAAUUGCGCAAUAUGAUGUCUGGUGGCUGGCUUAACUAUUUGAUGGUGUGUUACAUUGACCGAGGAGGGAUAUUCAAAAGUCUUCAUCGUGGCAAAAUUAAGAAUGAUUUUCAGAAAGAUGACAUGGCAUUGCCAUUUCCUAGGUCUUCUAGACAUCAUUAA
Molecule: ribosomal RNA, 291 nt
Filed under: Triticum aestivum (bread wheat)
Lineage: Eukaryota; Viridiplantae; Streptophyta; Magnoliopsida; Poales; Poaceae
Description: partial small subunit ribosomal RNA
Source: RNAcentral